CCUGGCGGCUGUAGCGCGGUGGUCCCACCUGACCCCAUGCCGAACUCGAAGUGAAACGCCGUAGCGCCGAUGGUAGUGUGGGGUCUCCCCAUGUGAGAGUAGGGAACUGCCAGGC
This 115-nucleotide ribosomal RNA is filed under the name Enterobacter cloacae. The record is from RNAcentral. Lineage: Bacteria; Pseudomonadati; Pseudomonadota; Gammaproteobacteria; Enterobacterales; Enterobacteriaceae.